ACACAAUAUCUAACGUAUUGUUAUGUAGCAGAGUCUAUGAGGUAGAUGGAAUACAAUAUCUAAGGUAUUGUUAUGUACCAGAGUCUAUGAGGUAGAUGGAAUACAAUAUCUAAGGUAUUGUUAUGUACCAGAGUCUAUGAGUUAGAUGGAAUACAAUAUCUAAGGUAUUGUUAUGUACCAGAGUCUAUGAGGUAGAAGGAAUACAAUAUCUAACGUAUUGUUAUGUACCAGAGUCUAUGAGUUAGACGGAAUGUAAAAAAAUAUUAGGUCUUCUAAACACACACACAGGCUGGGGAGGAGCGAGAAAAGGCCACGUUAUAUUAACACAAAUAAACAGGAUGUUUACAUAAUCACUAUUAUGUGAGGUAGCAGCGCAAAUCUUCUCAUUUCCACAAGCCAGAGUUGAGAAGUAUAUAGAUGUUAGAUAGCUAAUAUGGAUAUGUGUGUUCAUGUGUGUAUUGGCUGCAUCCUACACGUUUGCUUACAACCCUUAUUGAGUUAUUUUAAAGUGCUUUUUUUUUAAAGUGCUUUAUAUAUAUAGCUUGCCCUUUAAGACUCUAAUCACAUAUAUAGAUGGUACUUUAUUUAUUUAGCUAAAUCAGUCACUGUCUAAAGAACAUGAACAACGUAACACUCUACGCUGAGUUUUGGGAGAUGGAGGGACAUCGUUUCCAUACAGAAUAAACAAAUCCCAACCUACCAGCAUCUCUCGUGAACAAGCGGCAUCGUGGGACACAGGAGGACCAACUGACAAACUAACAGGAAUCAUUCUCCUCCUUCCUCAAGAGCGUUCAACACAAAGGCUUCUGGAUAGUCUGGGCCAUAGUCAUCGGUCAUUGUAGACCCUGUUAGUGCGAACCACACUGGACUUCAUAUCCUAGAGGUGAUAUUGUAUGCUUCUGCCCCACAACAUGUCUACUGUACAGACCAGCACUUUUUGGAUCAACUUCCUCUUGAUUUCCUGUUUAAGUUUCUUAUCUUCACUUCCUGUUUCUGACCGUAAUUAGGAAGUGGGAAGAAUUGAUAAGAUAGAAGUCUUUCUGAUGUCUUGUGGUAGAAUCUCCCACCCAGGACACACCCACGCAUGGAUGUCCACCAAAACACACAGGCCUAUGUCUGAUUAUUGGGUACUGACUGCCACCUGGGUGAACUUUAACCUUUAGCCCCUGAGGUUAUGUGGUCAGGUCACUGUUCUCUCAGCAAUGUAAACCUCAGCAGCGCAGAUAUAUUGUAUUCUCAAGUAUUUUACAUUUUAGUCAUUUAGCAGACGCUCUUAUCCAGAGCGACUUACAGUAGUGAAUACAUACAUUUCGUGCAUUUGUUUUUUUGUACUGGCCCCCCGUGGGAAUCAAACCCACAACCCUGGCGUUGCGCACACCAUGCUGGCGUUGCAAACACCAUGCUCUACCAACUGAGCCACAGGGAAAGUAUCUUCAACAACCAGUAGAUGGCGUCUGAUUGGUUCCUGUUCAACCAGUAGAUGACAUCUGAUUGGUUCCUGUUCAACCAAUAGAUGACAUCUGAUUGGUUCCUGUUCAACCAGUAGGUGACAUCUGAUUGGUUCCUGUUCAACCAGUAGGUGACAUCUGAUUGGUUCCUGUUCAACCAGUAGAUGCCGUCUGAUUGGUUCCUGUUCAACCAGUAGGUGACAUCUGAUUGGUUCCUGCACAAGCUCAAACUCAAAAGUGUAUUGUGAUCUCAUUUGCUGAUAAGGACAUUUCUUCUGGUCAACAGUUUUGCAUAUCGUCAUGUGAUCUGGACACACCGGUCUCUUAUUGGCCAGGACUCCUAUAUUACUUCUUAAAUCAGCCCUCUCUCAUUUCUUAUUGGUUGCUGUUACAUGCACACAAUAAUGUGAUUAUUGUGAAUAGUCAGAUUAAUAUAAUAGUUUGUUUAAAUGUUGUAUGCUUUGCAAGAAGAACAAUUUCCCUAAAAAUCCUGUUUACAUGGACACAUCUGAAAUCAGGCUACCUGAUGGGAUUUUUGA
This 1987-nucleotide long non-coding RNA is filed under the name Salmo salar (Atlantic salmon). Its description in RNAcentral is "lncRNA (ENSSSAG00000114186.1)". The record is from RNAcentral. Lineage: Eukaryota; Metazoa; Chordata; Actinopteri; Salmoniformes; Salmonidae.